Molecule: RNA transcript, 1536 nt
Organism: Diorhabda sublineata
Lineage: Eukaryota; Metazoa; Arthropoda; Insecta; Coleoptera; Chrysomelidae
Gene: inaF-D
Exons: 5
Source: RefSeq, a predicted model, not a curated record
GUCUUGGUUGAAUGUGUGCCUUUGGAUUUUAUGGAAUAGUUAUCUCGCAGGGAAUAUCCUGUUGGUUUGCCUUUAGGGGCUGCAAAACAUAUGUUGUUAGACCAUUGUUUAUGGAAAUUCUAGAGGUCGUUAAGAUUUAACUUGUUUGUUCAGCACUGAAAAGUUGUUUGGGGAUCGUUGCAGGUUUGAUAAUUGAGGGUUCAUGAUCUGGACGAAUAAUGCAGGACAUAUAACCUUGUGAGGGCAAUUUGAAAGUAUUUUAAGAUGGGUCAAGUAGAUGUUAGCCAAGAUUCUUCCGAUUCUACAAAAAACUCAAAAGACGCAUUCUUCGAUCCAAAACCUAAGCCUAAAAUGAUAAGAGUACUGACUGUGUUAGUUUAUGUUCUAAGUGUAUCCAUGGCUGCAAUAUUUCUAUCUAUUUACUAUAUAUUUAUGUGGCAUGGAGAACCACAUUUAGGAGCCCACAAGAAUAUACCAAACAGUUAUAUUAGGUCACAAAACGAAAGCUUAAAAAUAAUAGAAGCUAUUGAAAAUGGAGCCAAUAAAACGUUUUUUUCUGAUUUCAAUCAAGAAGAAGAAAAAACAAUGAUAGUUACCCAUCCAAGUUCAAAUGAAGAAUCAAUUAAGUUUACGGUCUGAAUUUUGAUGGAAAUUUCAUUUUUCAAUUUUUUAAACGUUUUGGCUGGAAGCCUUUAUCAAGAGAGGAAAUUAGGGUAGUCAUUCGUUCUUUUCUUUGAGUGGGGAUCAUAUUCCGUGGUCUCAAUCUGGCUACUCCACGUAAUCACCCCUUUUGGUUGAUUCCAAGUUGACUAAAAACCAGUAGUUAAAGUGUUGAUAUUCUCGACGCUUUUAUUUUCUCGGCAGAAUUCCAAAAAGUAGGCAGAUUGGGGCUAUGGAAUCGGAUCAUUUCUUAAAACAAUGAACGAAAAACCACCUCCCUUAAUAAUCGCUUCAAAACUGAAACCACUUAUCAUACUUAUAUGUAAUAAAAUAGUAAAUUGGUUCAAGGUUAGUUUUUUGUGAAUGGGCUCAACCACAAAUACCAUAGAUUUUUUUUAUUUUGUGGUUUUUGGCGAAAAGUGCUCUUGUCACAAAAAUAAAACGGCGAACAGGCACAAUUCGUACAUUUUUAAAGCUCAUGCCAAAGCACAUGGUAUAUAAGUGUUUGAAGUGUUAUUGUUGAAAUAGGCUGUAAUCCUUUGACCGUCGUAGGAAAAUGAAUUAUAAAAUAAGAGAAACUUGCAAUGGAUUGACAUACUAAUGCUUAGAAUGUAGCGUAUUAAUGUGAUAAUUGAAUACAAGCUUAUGUAUUGUUUCUAUUAUAUUUCGAAGCUUUCGAAUAUCUAUGUAUUCAAGGGGGAAUUAAUUAGUUGAGAAUGGUGGACUUUUAAAUUUUGUUUCUUUUAAAAAUCAUUGAAAUCAUAGAAAGCUUAUUGUUUCUAUCAAGCGUCAAUUUGAAUAUUGAUUUAAUUCGAUGAAUUUGAUGAUUUUUAAAUUACAAUGACACAUUAUACCCUUAUAAAAAUGGUUACCUUA